RNAcentral lists this long non-coding RNA (1122 nucleotides) under Salmo salar (Atlantic salmon). RNAcentral's name for it is "lncRNA (ENSSSAG00000093546.1)". Lineage: Eukaryota; Metazoa; Chordata; Actinopteri; Salmoniformes; Salmonidae. The record is from RNAcentral.
AUCCUUUUUUAGUUUGGCAUUUAUUUAGUCACCAUUUGAACAAAUAAUAAUCCGCUUGGACUGACUGACCAAGCGGUCAAGAUGGAACUGGCCCUGGACAUAAGGCCAUACAAACGCUUCACACCGCGUGGCCGCUGCCACUCUAACCUGGUGGUCCCAGCGCGCACGACCCACGUGGAGUUCCAGGUCUCCGGCAGCCUCUGGAACUGCCGGUCUGCAGCCAACAAGGCUGAGUUCAUCUCAGCCUAUGCUACCCUCCAGUCCCUAGACUUCCUGGCGCUGACGGAAACAUGGAUUACCACAGAUAACACUGCUACUCCUGCUGCUCUCUCUUCGUCUGCCCACGUGUUCUCGCAUACCCCUAGAGCAUCGAGCCAGCGGGGUGGUGGCACUAGAAUCCUCAUCUCUCCCAAGUUCCCUUGGAGAGUUCAUCAAUGAGCUUGACGCCUUGAUAAGUUCCUUUCCUGAAGAUGGCUCACCUCUCACAGUUCUGGACCAUUUCCGGAGACCUUCUCCCCUUCCUCACCUCGCUCAUCAACUCAUCCUUGACCGCUGGCUACGUCCCUUCCGUCUUCAAGAGAGCGAGAGUUGCACCCCUUCUGAAAAAACCUACACUCGAUCCCUCCGAUGUCAACAACUACAGACCAGUAUCCCUUCUUUCUUUUCUCUCAAACUCUUGAACGUGCCGUCCUUGGCCAGCUCUCCUGCUAUCUCUCUCAGAAUGACCUUCUUGAUCCUAAUCAAUCAGGUUUCAAGACUGGGCAUUCAACUGAGACUGCUCUUCUCUGUGUCACGGAGGCUCUCCGCACUGCUAAACUAACUCUCUCUCCUCUGCUCUCAUCCUUCUAGACCUAUCUGCUGCCUUUGAUACUGUGAACCAUCAGAUCCUCCUCUCCACCCUCUCCGAGUUGGGCAUCUCCGGCGCGGCCCACGCUUGGAUUGCGUCCUACCUGACAGGUCGCUCCUACCAGGCGGCGAAUCGCAUCUCUGCAUGUCUGUCAGGCAUAUCAGUGUGGAUGACGGAUCACCAGCUCAAGCUGAACCUCGGCAAGACGGAGCUGCUCUUCCUCCUGGGGAAGGACUGCCCGUUCCAUGAUCUCGCCAUCACGGUUGACAACUCCC